This 465-nucleotide ribosomal RNA is filed under the name uncultured bacterium. RNAcentral describes it as "partial 16S ribosomal RNA". It matches the Rfam family "Bacterial small subunit ribosomal RNA", at positions 28 to 507 of the family's 1533-position model. The record is from RNAcentral.
GACGAACGCUGGCGGCGUGCUUAACACAUGCAAGUCGUACGGUAAGGCCCUUUCGGGGGUACACGAGUGGCGAACGGGUGAGUAACACGUGAGUAACCUGCCCACAACUUUGGGAUAACGCUAGGAAACUGGUGCUAAUACUGGAUAUGUGCUCCUGCUGCAUGGUGGGGGUUGGAAAGCUCCGGCGGUUGUGGAUGGACUCGCGGCCUAUCAGCUUGUUGGUGGGGUAGUGGCCUACCAAGGCGGCGACGGGUAGCCGGCCUGAGAGGGUGACCGGCCACAUUGGGACUGAGAUACGGACCAGACUCCUACGGGAGGCAGCAGUGGGGAAUAUUGCACAAUGGGCGCAAGCCGGAUGCAGCAACGCCGCGUGCGGGAUGACGGCCUUCGGGUUGUAAACCGCUUUCAGCAGGGACGAAGCUUUUUGUGACGGUACCUGCAGAAGAAGCACCGGCUAACUACGUG